RNAcentral lists this ribosomal RNA (503 nucleotides) under uncultured bacterium. RNAcentral's name for it is "partial 16S ribosomal RNA". It matches the Rfam family "Bacterial small subunit ribosomal RNA", at positions 30 to 523 of the family's 1533-position model. The record is from RNAcentral.
AUUGAACGCUGGCGGCAGGCUUAACACAUGCAAGUCGAGCGGGGUGAUGGUGCUUGCACUAUCACUUAGCGGCGGACGGGUGAGUAAUGCUUAGGAAUCUGCCUAUUAGUGGGGGACAACAUCUCGAAAGGGAUGCUAAUACCGCAUACGUCCUACGGGAGAAAGCAGGGGAUCACUUGUGACCUUGCGCUAAUAGAUGAGCCUAAGUCGUAUUAGCUAGUUGGUGGGGUAAAGGCCUACCAAGGCGACGAUCUGUAGCGGGUCUGAGAGGAUGAGCCGCCAAACUGGGACAGAGAUACGGCCCAGACUCGUACGGGAGGCAGCAGUGGGGAAUAUUGGGCAAUGGGGGGAACCCUGAUCCAGCCAUGCAGCGUGUGUGAAGAAGGCCUUAUGGUUGUAAAGCACUUUAAGCGAGGAGGAGGCUCUUUUGGUUAAUGCCCAAGAUGAGUGGACGUUACUCGCAGAAUAAGCACCGGCUAACUCUGUGCCAGCCGCCGCCGUAA